CGCCGCAGCGCCGCGCGGGCGGGGCGGAGAGGCGCGGCGCCGGCGGCGGUGGCGCCGGCGCGGUGCAUGCCGGGAGCUGUCAGGGGCGCCGGCGGCGGUGGGGCUCUUCCGGCGCUGGUCGCUCAGGUAAUGGUUGUACAUGAAUUGCAAGCUGGUCUCUAGUGGGGACUCUGUGGGAGGAUGAACACGGAGGAGCUGGAGCUACUGACUGAUUCCAAAUAUCGAAACUAUGUAGCAGCAGUUGACAAAGCACUGAAGAACUUCGAAUAUUCCAGCGAAUGGGCAGAUUUAAUAUCGGCACUUGGAAAGCUAAACAAGGUACUCCAGAACAAUGCGAAGUACCAGGUAGUACCCAAAAAGCUGACCAUAGGCAAGCGCUUGGCACAAUGCCUUCAUCCUGCUUUGCCGGGUGGAGUUCAUCGGAAGGCACUUGAAACAUAUGAGAUCAUCUUCAAAAUUAUUGGGCCCAAACGUUUGGCGAAAGAUCUUUUCCUAUACAGUUCUGGGCUCUUUCCACUUCUUGCCAAUGCUGCUAUGUCUGUCAAGCCAACGUUAUUGAGUCUGUAUGAGAUUUAUUACCUCCCUUUGGGGAAAACAUUGAAACCAGGUCUGCAAGGGCUGUUAACUGGGAUACUGCCUGGUUUAGAGGAGGGAUCAGAGUAUUAUGAAAGAACAAACACGCUGCUGGAGAAGGUUGCCUCAGCUGUGGAUCAGUCAGCAUUCUACAGUGCUCUCUGGGGUAGUCUUCUCACCAGCCCUGCAGUUCGAUUGCCUGGAAUCACUUAUGUCCUCUCCCAUUUGAACAGGAAGCUUUCAAUGGAAGAUCAACUCUAUAUAAUUGGCAGUGACAUUGAAUUAAUGGUGGAAGCAGUAAGCACAUCAGUGCAAGAUUCCAGUGUGUUAGUACAGAGGAGCACUUUGGACCUUAUCCUUUUUUGUUUUCCUUUCCACAUGAGCCAGGCAACACGUCCAGACAUGAUCAGAAUUUUGUCAGCAGCGCUCCAUGUAGUACUGCGCAGAGAUAUGUCACUCAACAGAAGGCUUUAUGCAUGGCUUCUAGGUUUUGAUAACAAUGGUGCCCUUAUAGGACCUAGAAGUACAAGGCACAGCAAUCCUGAGGAGCAUGCCACUUACUAUUUCAACACAUUUUCUAAGGAAAUGUUAGUCCAGGCAAUGGUUGGAAUAUUACAAGUUAAUGGACAUGGAGAAGAAAGCACAUUAAUGCAAGACUUAAAGCCUUUUCGAAUUCUUAUCAGUUUGCUGGAUAAGCCUGAACUAGGCCCUGCCAUCCUAGAGGAUGUAUUGAUUGAAGUGUUUCGAACAUUAUACACACAGUGCAAAGCAGAACUGGAGCUUCAGGCAGAACCUUCUUUCAACAAAGACCACACACAGCUAAGCAGCAAACUGAGAGAAAAUAAGAGAACAGCAGAACUGAUUAAAACUGCCAAUCUUCUCUUUAAUUCUUUUGAGCCUUAUUAUAUGUGGGAUUACAUUGCUCGUUGGUUUGAAGAAUGUUGCAGGAGGACAUUACAUGCCAGACUUCAAACUGGGCCUGGAGGUGGUAGUGAGCAAUCUGAGUUACCCCUGACAAAUUUCAGCUUGUUAGUGGAUUUUUUAUUGGAUAUAGUUUCUUUGGAGACUUAUAUUGAAAUACAGACAGAACAUUUGCCUCAGCUGUUGCUCAGAAUGAUUUCUGCAUUGACGAGUCAUCUUCAUACAUUGCACUUGUCCGAGCUUACUGAUUCUCUCCGACUCUGCUCGAAGAUCCUUAGUAAGGUUCAACCUCCGUUACUGUCUGCAGGUACAGAUGGUAUCCUGCAGCUUCCUAGUGGACACAGCAACUCUAUCAAAGAAUGGGAAGAUAAAAAGGUGCCCUCAAUUUCACUUGACAAUCCUAACGAUGUGUUUGAAGAUGGUGAAAAUCCUCCAAGCAGUCGGUCAUCAGAAAGUGGAUUCACUGAGUUUGUACAAUACCAGGCGGAUACAACUGAUGAUAUUGAUAGAGCGCUGAAUGAAGGUCAUGGUGCACCCAGCAUCCCUAUUAUAGGUAGCACAUCCUCAGAGACUGAGACAGCGUCAACUGUGGGAUCUGAGGAAACCAUUGUACAGCUUCCUUCCCUAAUGACACAGGGGACAGCAACUCGAAGUGGGAAAACAAUCCAAAAGACUGCAAUGCAGUGCUGUUUGGAGUAUGUCCAACAGUUUUUAACCAGAUUUAUCAACUUGUAUAUCAUUCAGAGUAAUUCCUUGUCUCAGCCAUUAGGGACAGAGCUUCCAGUAGACCCCACUAGAGAGCAAGGGCAGACCACAAAAUGGGAUAGAGAAUCACAAGGAGAUGCUAAGGUGAAGAAAACAAACAAGAAAAAGACACCAAAAGAAUACCUUCCUGCCUUUAUUGCUGCUUGUCAGCUGUAUCUUGAAUGUUCGAGUUUUCCCAUUUACAUUGCUGAGGGAAACCGUACUUCAGAAUUACAUGCUGGGAAACCUGAAGUUGACUGUGAACAAGUGCAGCCUCCACUGUGGCUUCAGACUCUAAUGAAUGCUUGCAAACAAGCAAGUGAUUUCAGCAUUCAAGGUGUUACUAUUUCACUUGUGAUGGACUUGGUUGGAUUGACUCAAUCUGUUGCUCUUGUUACUGGAGAAAAUCUGAAUAGUGUGGAAACUGCUCAGCCUCUUAGUCCUAACCAGGGAAGAGUGGCUGUGGUCAUUAGACCUCCUCUUACCCAAGGCAACCUGAGAUACAUGGCUGAAAAGACAGAUUUCUUCAAGCAUAUAGCUUUAACUCUAUGGGACCAGUUGGGCGAUGGAACUCCUCAGCAUCAUCAGAAGAGUGUGGAGCUCUUCUACCAGUUGCACAACCUUGUACCAUCUUCUAGCAUUUGUGAAGAUGUUAUUAGUCAGCAGCUGACUCACAGAGACAAGAAAGUAAGAAUGGAAGCUCAUGCAAAGUUUGCAGUGCUAUGGCAUCUCACCCGUGACCUUCAUAUUAACAAGUCUUCUUCCUUUGGCCGUACCUUUGACAGAUCUUUAUUUAUUAUGCUAGACAGCCUUAAUAGCUUAGAUGGUUCUACAUGGUCAGUGGGACAAGCCUGGCUAAAUCAAGUCCUUCAAAGACAUGAUAUUGCAAGGGUUCUUGAACCUUUGCUCCUACUGCUUCUCCAUCCAAAAACUCAGCGAGUUUCUGUUCAGCGAGUACAGGCUGAAUGUUACUGGACUAAAUCUCCCUGUCACCCUGAGGAAGAAAAUGAAAAGCACUUUAUGCAGAAAUUUAGUUGUGCAGAUGCGUUUUCUCAUGUGCCUUUAAGCCAAGGACAACUUAUACCUAAAGAGAGCAAUGAAAAACAACUUGCUAUGGAUGAAAUGGAGAACUUCAGCCUGACUGUCAACCCUCUGAGUGACAGGCUUUCCUUGUUAAGUACCAGCAGUGAGACUAUUCCAAUGGUUGUGUCUGAUUUUGACCUUCCUGACCAUCAAGUUGAAACGUUGCAGAGUUCUGACUCUGGCUGUUCUCAGUCAUCUAUUGGAGACAACAUCAGUUACGAGGUAGAAACAGAAAGCCUGAGUGCUCAGGAUAGCUCUCAAACUCUGAGAGAAGACUCACCUGAUGAAAUUGUGCAGCAAGUGGUUACUGAUCUAAUAUGCAAAGUUGUAAGUGGUCUUGGAGAAGAAACUGAAUCGGUUGUGCAUAAUCUAAACUCUGAGGAUACUUCAUGCAAAUUCAGUCCACUAGAUAACUCUGAAGAGGUGACUAAAAGUGAAGAUCAGAAUAUUCAAAGUAGCCAGAGUAGUUUGCUCAGUAAUGACAGCUCCCAGUUAUUAUCGGCAUCAACUGAGACUGGACUUGAGAGCUUACAAGAUGAAAUUUCAAGAAAUAAUUCUUCACCUUGUAUUGAUGCAAGUCAGCAGUCUCUCUCUGACCUCACUUUUACUUCCAUGGAAUCAAAGUCUAGAAAGCGAAGCCACAGUAGUAUUCAGUUCAGCUUCAAAGGAAAGCCACCAGAAAAAAUGUCAGAAAAAGAAACAAUUGUUAAAGAGUCUGGCAAGCAACCAGGUGCAAAACCAAAGGUGAAAAUAGCCAAAAAGAAAGAUGAAGAGAAGAAGAAAGCACAAACAGAAAAGCUUAAACAAACCAAUGUCUUCUUUAGUGAUGGUCUUGAUUUAGAAAACUGGUACAGUUGUGGAGAAGGAGAGAUUUCAGAAAUAGAAAGUGAUGUCGGGUCCCCAGGAAUGCGAAGAUCUGCCAACUUUAAUAUCCAUCCAUUGUAUCAACAUGUGCUGCUCUAUCUCCAGCUGUAUGACUCUUCAAGGACACUGUAUGCUUUUUCUGCGAUUAAAGCAAUUCUGAAAACAAAUCCUUCAGCUUUUGUAAGUGCCAUCUCAACCACCAGUGUCAAUAAUGCAUACACUCCUCAGCUCUCCUUGCUCCAGAAUCUUCUAGCCAGGCAUCGAAUAUCUGUUAUGGGCAAAGAUUUCUAUAGUCACAUCCCAGUUGAUUCGAACCAUAACUUUCGGAGUUCUAUGUACAUAGAAAUUCUUAUCUCCUUGUGUUUAUAUUAUAUGCGGAGCCACUAUCCAACUCAUGUUAAAGUAACCUCACAAGAUCUAAUAGGAAACCGUAAUAUGCAAAUGAUGAGUAUAGAAAUUUUGACACUUCUUUUUGCUGAGUUGGCAAAAGUCAUAGAAAGCUCUGCAAAGGGCUUUCCUAGUUUUAUUUCGGACAUGUUAUCCAAGUGCAAAGUUCAGAAAGUGAUCCUGCAUUGUCUGCUGUCUUCUAUCUUUAGUGCACAGAAAUGGCACAGUGAAAAGAUAGCUGGAAAAAACAUAGUGGCUGUAGAAGAAGGUUUCUCUGAAGACAGCCUUAUAAACUUCUCUGAAGAUGAAUUUGAUAAUGGCAGUACUCUGCAGUCACAGCUUCUAAAAGUACUGCAGCGGCUGAUUGUCCUGGAACACAGAGUAAUGACUGUGCCUGAGGAAAAUGAAACAGGCUUUGAAUUUGUCAUAACGGACUUGGAGCACAUCGGCCCACAGCAGCCCAUGACGUCCCUUCAGUAUUUACACUCCCAGCCAAUAACCUGUCAAGGCAUGUUUCUCUGUGCGGUGAUAAGAGCUCUGCACCAACACUGUGCCUGUAAAAUGCACCCCCAGUGGAUUGGCCUUAUCACUUCUACUUUGCCUUACAUGGGAAAAAUUCUUCAGAGGGUAGUUGUUUCUGUGACCCUUCAGCUUUGCAGGAAUUUGGAUAAUUUAAUUCAGCAGUAUAAAUAUGAAACAGGAUUAUCUGAUAAUAGGCCUCUCUGGAUGGCAUCAGUCACUCCACCAGAUAUGGUUCUUACUUUAUUGGAAGGUAUCACAACAAUAAUUCAUUACUGCCUCUUAGAUCCAUCUACACAAUAUCAUCAGCUUUUGGUUAAUGUAGAUCAGAAACACUUGAUUGAAGCACGCAAUGGGAUCCUGUCUAUCUUGCAUAUGAUCAUGUCUUCUGUGACUCUGCUAUGGAGCAUCCUUCAUCUUGCAGAUUCUUCAGAGAAAGCAACUGCUGCUGCUGCUUCCAUUACCACUAUUAAUCUUGGAUCAACAAAGAAUUUGAGGCAGCAGAUUCUUGAAUUAUUGGGCCCAAUUUCAAUGAAUCAUGGUGUUCACUUCAUGGCUGCUAUUGCAUUUGUAUGGAAUGAAAGGAGACAAAAUAAAAAUGCUUCUAGAACAAAGGUUAUUCCUGCAGCUGGUGAAGAACAACUUCUGCUAGUAGAGCUAGUUCGCUCUAUCAGUGUAAUGAGAACUGAGACUGUUAUACAAACAGUGAAAGAAGUUUUGAAGCAGCCUCCAGCCAUAGCAAAGGACAAGAAACAUCUUUCACUUGAAGUCUGCAUGUUGCAGUUUUUCUAUGCUUAUACUCAGAGGAUUCCAGUGACCAGCUUAGUAGAUAGUUGGGCAUCACUACUGCUUCUACUAAAGGACUCUAUCCAGGUUGGUCUUCCAGCUCCAGGGCAAUUCCUCAUACUUGGUGUUCUUAAUGAGUUUAUUAUGAAAAAUCCAAGUCUGGAGAAUAAGAAAGAUCAGAGAGAUCUUCAGGAUGUAACGCACAAGAUAGUAGAUGCCAUUGGGGCAAUUGCUGGUUCUUCCUUGGAGCAGACUACUUGGCUAAGACGAAACUUGGAGGUUAAGCCUUCCCCCAAGAUUAUGGUUGAUGGAAACAGCUUGGAAUCUGAUGUUGAAGAUAUGUUGUCUCCAGCAAUGGAAACUUCAAACAUAACUCCAUCAGUUUAUAGUGUCCAUGCAUUAACCUUACUUUCUGAGGUUUUGGCUCAUCUCUUGGAUAUGGUUUUCUACAGUGAUGAAAAAGAGAGAGUUAUUCCUUUGCUUGUAAAUAUUAUGCACUAUGUUGUUCCCUACCUCCGUAAUCACAGUGCUCACAAUGCCUCCAGCUAUCGAGCCUGUGUUCAGUUAUUAAGCAGCCUUAGUGGGUAUCAAUACACAAGGCGAGCGUGGAAAAAGGAAGCAUUUGAUCUCUUUAUGGAUUCCAGUUUCUUCCAAAUGGAUGCUUCUUGUGUUAACCAUUGGAGAGCUAUUAUGGAUAACUUGAUGACACAUGACAAAACCACAUUCAGAGAUUUGAUGACCCGAGUGGCUGUGGCUCAGAGCAGUUCCCUGAAUCUGUUUGCCAAUCGGGACGUGGAGCUGGAGCAGCGCGCGAUGCUCCUGAAGAGACUGGCCUUCGCAAUUUUUAGUAGUGAAAUAGACCAGUACCAGAAAUACCUUCCAGACAUACAAGAAAGGCUGGUAGAAAGUCUUCGUUUGCCACAGGUGCCCACUCUUCAUUCCCAAGUGUUCCUGUUUUUCAGAGUAUUGCUUUUAAGAAUGUCUCCACAGCACCUUACCUCACUUUGGCCUACCAUGAUCACUGAACUGGUACAAGUGUUUUUAUUAAUGGAACAGGAGCUAACUGCUGAUGAAGAUAUUUCCAGGACUUCUGGCCCAUCUGUUGCUGGUCUGGAGACGACGUACACAGGGGGCAAUGGUUUCUCCACAUCCUACAAUAGCCAGAGAUGGCUGAACCUGUACCUGUCUGCUUGCAAAUUUCUGGAUUUAGCCCUAGCUUUACCAUCUGAAAACCUUCCUCAAUUUCAGAUGUAUCGUUGGGCUUUUAUUCCAGAAGCAUCAGAUGAUUCAGGCCUGGAGGUUCGAAGACAGGGCACUCAUCAAAGGGAAUUUAAACCAUAUGUGGUACGUCUAGCAAAACUGCUGCGAAAAAGAGCGAAGGACAAACAGGAGGACUUUAAGACGAUGGUUUUGGAGGGAUUGGAGAUGGCCAAGCAUCAGAUGCUGUUUUUCACUAUAUUGUCCUCUGAACUGAGCUGAACUGAAUCUCAGACCUCUAUACUUCCACUAAGUGAUAAUGAUGAGCAUGCAGUUGCUGUGGCAAAACUGGAAGUGAUGUUUUUUUUCGCAGCAGUAAGGUAGUGCUAAAGCUACUGCAAGUGCAGUUGCAACAGAGCUAGAGUCAAACUCCCAUGCCCUCAGUGCACUUUUAGUAGGUGUGCUUGAUUUAGGCACAAUGUGUCAUUAACCAAUUAAAUAAGCUGGGGAUGCAAAUUCAUCACUGUAACACUAAAAUAUUAAAGCAAUAGUUACCCUGUUAGAGGGCUUGUAAACAAUGAAUGUGAUAGGUAUACCUUUUAAUUAGUUUGCAUUAUGGAAAACAUACUCUGACUAUCAACUGCUGAAAGCAGCUGUUUCGUUACCUGUUUGUGACCACCUAGGGCUAGAAGAGGCAUCUGUCUGGUGUGACUUGGCUGAAGGAGGUGGCUUGCUCUCACAGUUUUUUUCGGCUUUCCUGCUUGAUAGCAGCAAGGCUUUAAGCUUCAAUGAAGCCUCUGCACUAACCCAAACCUGAGUCUGCAUGGCUCAUCUGCCUUGUAGGCUGUCUGGGGAAGGGCUGGUAACCAGGUUAUUGCUAGCAGAAAAGAUGAGUCUUCAUGCUUAGACUAGAGUUGUAGCCUCCCUUCUGGACAUGACCAGGCCACUGCAUGUCAAGAAGUGACACUAAAGGCACACAUUUACUUGUAUCUAGCUCAGCUUUAGAAGUUAGACAAAUGGGGAGCAGCCAGCAGCAAGAGGUAAGUUACGAACAAGGUAAGAAAUAAUAGGGGGAAAAUAUUGUGCUCAGUCCCAUUUAAUCCCUUUUACAAUCAAGAAUGGCUUGGUAUGUCCACACUAACAAAUAAUAAAGUAAUAUUGACUAAAUCAGGUUAGGAACUUUAACUGCAGUUGUAUCCUUUGUUAUACAGGCUGGGGUGGUGUUCCUACUCCACCAGCGAGAUGGUAAACAGCCAGGCUUACUUCAUGGGCAAGGGCAUCAGCAUUCUCCUAUGGAAUAUUAAAAAAGUGCUGGCUGCAAUUCUGACAUGUUGCACAUACAUACUUACUGUGCCGUGUCCAUUUGCCUCAAAGUACACACCAACAUCGAACUCCUGGGCCUUGUGAUGUAGGUGUUUCACUCCUGUUUUGACACAGUGAACAGGUACCUACAACCCAGAGACAUACAGAGAACAUAUACAAUCAGUCACAAGCAGCUGGUAACUGCAGGUGAGGUGACUGCUAAAAAACACAGUAAUUCAGAAAGCGCCAGGAACCUAGCAACCAACCCAGGUGGACUGUUACUAACCAACCUCUGUUUCACAACUACUGAUUCCCCAAAGCUCAAAUUAUCCACUACUUCUGCAGCUUGGAUUUAAAGGAGGUUUUUCAUUUCUUCAAAUGGAAAUAAAGGCUGAUUUAAAAAAAAAAAAUCAGAAAAAAAAUCACACAUAUGUACAUACACACACACACCAUGAAAAUCCCUACUUAUUUAAUGAUUUCAGGGAACAUAACAAUUCUAGCCAAACUGAAAUACUUCAGCUCAGUUUUGCCAACAAAGAGCAAACCACAUUUCAGUAGCAAACAACAUUCAGCCUGUUGCAAAAAAUAAACAGUCUCAAUGUAUCAAAGAGCCUUUACUGACUCACUUCUUUGCAAAGCCAUAAACUUCUGCAAUUCCAGAAGUAACAGAGGAUUUUGUUUAACUUUUGCCUACUUGUUUUUUUUAAACCAGUAAAAUCUGGCUGGAACUUUUUCAUCUUUGCUCCCAUGGGUCUCCUCUACCAAGAAUUUAAUAACUAGUACAGAUUUGAAAGAG
Dromaius novaehollandiae (emu) is the source of this 9172-nucleotide RNA transcript. It is a transcript of the gene named DOP1 leucine zipper like protein A, with no coding region annotated. The record is from RefSeq and is a predicted model, not a curated record. The transcript has 39 exons. NCBI's taxonomy places the organism in Eukaryota, Metazoa, Chordata, Aves, Casuariiformes, Dromaiidae.